This 539-nucleotide ribosomal RNA is filed under the name uncultured archaeon. RNAcentral describes it as "bacterial SSU rRNA". It matches the Rfam family "Archaeal small subunit ribosomal RNA", at positions 460 to 997 of the family's 1478-position model. The record is from RNAcentral.
AGCCGCCGCGGUAACACCGGCGGCCCGAGUGGUGAUCGUGAUUAUUGGGUCUAAAGGGUCCGUAGCCGGUUUGGUCAGUCCUCCGGGAAAUCUGAUUGCUCAACUAUUAGGCUUUCGGGGGAUACUGCCAGACUUGGAACCGGGAGAGGUAAGAGGUACUACAGGGGUAGGAGUGAAAUCUUGUAAUCCCUGUGGGACCACCUGUGGCGAAGGCGUCUUACCAGAACGGGUUCGACGGUGGGGGACGAAAGCUGGGGGCACGAACCGGAUUAGAUACCCGGGUAGUCCCAGCCGUAAACGAUGCUCGCUAGGUGUCAGGCAUGGCGCGACCGUGUCUGGUGCCGCAGGGAAGCCGUGAAGCGAGCCACCUGGGAAGUACGGCCGCAAGGCUGAAACUUAAAGGAAUUGGCGGGGGAGCACAACAACGGGUGGAGCCCUGCGGUUUAAUUGGACUCAACGCCGGACAACUCACCGGGGGCGACAGCAAUAUGUAGGCCAAGCUGAAGACUUUGCCUGAAUCGCUGAGAAGUGGUGCAUGG